RNAcentral lists this ribosomal RNA (397 nucleotides) under uncultured beta proteobacterium. Its description in RNAcentral is "bacterial SSU rRNA". It matches the Rfam family "Bacterial small subunit ribosomal RNA", at positions 114 to 507 of the family's 1533-position model. The record is from RNAcentral. Lineage: Bacteria; Pseudomonadati; Pseudomonadota; Betaproteobacteria.
CGCGUGGGAAUCUACCUGGUAGUGGGGGACAACAGUCGGAAACGACUGCUAAUACCGCAUACGCCCUGAGGGGGAAAGCGGGGGAUCGCAAGACCUCGCGUUAUUCGAGCGGCCGACGUCUGAUUAGCUAGUUGGUGGGGUAAAGGCUCACCAAGGCGACGAUCAGUAGCGGGUCUGAGAGGAUGAUCCGCCACACUGGGACUGAGACACGGCCCAGACUCCUACGGGAGGCAGCAGUGGGGAAUUUUGGACAAUGGGGGCAACCCUGAUCCAGCCAUUCCGCGUGAGUGAAGAAGGCCUUCGGGUUGUAAAGCUCUUUCAGCUGGAGCGAAACGGUACGCUCUAACAUAGCGUGCUAAUGACGGUACCAGCAGAAGAAGCACCGGCUAACUACGUG